UUUGGGGGAAGAAAUGAGAUUGGAUGUCGCCACCGGUUAUUUUUUUGCCCCCCAACUUGUUCCAACAACGAUUUUCAGCCGUGUGGGGAGGAAAAGACGGGGGAACGGCGACCAACACCUUGUGUGGUGCAAGAGGGGAAGGUGCUGAGCCCGCCGGCAGCCCCGUCACAGCCCCGACCUGGCACCUCCGUGGGGACGUCGCCGUCCCUGCUCCAGGAAGCUCAGCGUGCAGGCGUCAGCCCCACAAGCGUCUCGCCCUGUGCCCCAGCCGCUGAGCGCUCCGUGAGCCUCUUCCAGCUCAUUUCCAUCACAGCUGGGCUUGCCCAGUCCAUUUAUUUCCCCCGUCUACUUCCCCAUGUGCCACCCCGUGCUGCAGUCCCUCCUGCUCCCCUCCCUAUCAUCAGGGGGCACCCGAGCAGUUUUAAUUUCCCUGUUUUCUUCCGUUAUCCUUCACCGCAAGCCGGGCCCGGCCAGCGCUGGGGACACCUGUGCUUUUUAGCUGUUGCAGUGAGCCUGUUCGUGGCAGCCCACGGGGCCGGGGCCGCUCUCUGUGCCGGCCGGGGGUGCUCCACGGGGAGCUUGACCCGCAGAAAGCCUCAAAUCCUGCUUGCCGUGGUGGUGCUGAGCCGUGCAGAGCCGUGGAGUGGUUUGUGGCCGACAGCCCGUGAGCCUUUUCGGGACAGCCCCAACCUCCUGGAGGGAUCAGGUGCCUCCAAUCCAGCCGUGCGUGCGUGCUGGGGACGAGCGUGCCCGUGCCCUGGAUGCGUCCCCCUGUGCAGCCACCCAGGUGCCGCGUGGCACCCCGGGGACCCAGCAGCUGGUGGCUUUGGGGUGAAACCGAAGAGAAAACCAAAAGCUGGGCUCCUGCUGGAGCCAGGUGAAUGCAGAGGCACGCGGGGAGGGGAGAGCCCCCGGCCCACGCCGUCGGCUCCGUCGGGUGCACAGGGCCACGGAGCUCAGCAUCGAAGCAGGGGUCGCUCUGCCUCCCCCCCCCCGGGUCCUGGUCCUGCACGGCCUCCUGCCCCCGGCCGUCUGUGGAAGCAGGGCUACAACCCCGGGGAGGGCGGAGCAGCACCAGCAAGGAGAACUACAAAGUCCUUUGGGGUUCAGCUUGAAUAUUCAUCUCGGGCAUGGAAAAAAGGGGGUUUCCUGGCGGCGGGGAAACGCAUGGGAGCGUUUCAGAACAAGCCGCCCUUCCAGUUCUCUAACCACCCUUGGAAACAGCCUCGCCUGCUCUCGGCUGACCUUCUGAGGGCUCCUUGCUCAGACUGCGAGGAUCCGCUCGCUUUGGGGACGGAGCUUUUCCACGCUCCUGCCUCGCUUGUCAGCACUCGCCCGGGCACAAGGCAGGGGAGGCUGCGGCCGGCGGGAUGGGCGCCGGGGGCCGGGAGCCCUCCCGGAGCCGAAUUUGCUGCUGGCCCUAUACAGAGGGGACUCGGGGAGCCGGCAAAGCUGUUUGGGGCUGAGGGUGUGAGUUUUUUCCCAUUGCUCCCCCUCCUGCAGACGUGA
RNAcentral lists this long non-coding RNA (1509 nucleotides) under Anser cygnoides (Swan goose). Its description in RNAcentral is "lncRNA (ENSACDG00005014830.1)". Lineage: Eukaryota; Metazoa; Chordata; Aves; Anseriformes; Anatidae. The record is from RNAcentral.